Molecule: long non-coding RNA, 851 nt
Filed under: Capsella rubella
Lineage: Eukaryota; Viridiplantae; Streptophyta; Magnoliopsida; Brassicales; Brassicaceae
Description: long non-coding RNA (CRUB_LNC000902)
Source: RNAcentral
UUUAUUUCAAUAAAAUAAUGAUUAAGAAAAGGAAAAGAUAUUGCAAGUUGUUUAGCAAAAAAAAAAAAAAUUGCAAGUUUCUGAUUGGCUAAUAUAUUGAGACAAGGAUUCCACUUUUCCACCGUUGAUUGCUAAAGAUCCAAAUGACCAAAUCUUCUCCUUCUAUUUCUCCUUCUCUCCUCUCUCGUUUCUUACACCUUUGUCCAAAAACCUUUCAUUUUCCAAACCUAAAUUAAUUAACUCUAUCUAUGUCUUAUCCUGCUCUCACCUUCUUCCCAAGAUCUGAAUUUUUUUUCCAUUCACCACCAUCACUCAGAUCGAAAUGAGGCGAGGCCUACCUCUCUACCUUAAUAUUCUUGGUAAUGUUCUCUUUUUGUUCUUAUUCUUCAGUGUCUUAAGUUUUGUCUCAGAUUCUAAAAGAAAAUGUUUUUGUGUUUCAGAUUUGGAUCUAGUAAAUAUUCACUAAAAACAGUUGGGAUCUAGGGAUGAGGACAGAAAACGGUGACAGAGGAGAACAGCAGCGGAGGAGACGGCGGACUAGUACGGCAGCGGCGGAGAUGGCGGACUAGAACGACAGAGGCGGAGACGGCGGACUAGUACGGCAGAGGCGGCGACGAAUGACUGGUACGGCAGCGGCGGAGACGGCGAAUUAGUACGGCGGAGAGCAAGAUUUGAAGUUUUUUUAUUUUCUUAUUCUUUUCUGUAAUUAAAUUUGUUUUGUUUAAUUGUAAUCAAAAUUAAUAAACAAAAAUGAUAUUCUGAUUAACAAAUUAACAAUCGAAAUAAAAAAAUCAUUUUUGAUUUAAUAUAUAAUAGUUAAACUUUCAAUAGAACUAAAUUUAGAAUAAUUU